GAUGAACGCUAGCUACAGGCUUAACACAUGCAAGUCGCGGGGUAACAUCUGGGAGAGCUUGCUCUUCCAGGAUGACGACCGGCGCACGGGUGAGUAACGCGUAUCCAACCUGGCCCAUACCACGGGAUAGCCCGUCGAAAGGCGGAUUAAUACCCGUAUGCUGUCAUUAAGAUGCAUAUAUUGAUGACGAAAGGACUGGCGGUAUGGGAUGGGGAUGCGUCUGAUUAGCUUGUUGGCGGGGUAACGGCCCACCAAGGCGACGAUCAGUAGGGGUCUGAGAGGAAGGUCCCCCAAUUGGAACUGAGACACGGUCCAAA
This 317-nucleotide ribosomal RNA is filed under the name uncultured bacterium. RNAcentral's name for it is "bacterial SSU rRNA". It matches the Rfam family "Bacterial small subunit ribosomal RNA", at positions 28 to 335 of the family's 1533-position model. The record is from RNAcentral.